This 280-nucleotide long non-coding RNA is filed under the name Malus domestica (apple). RNAcentral's name for it is "long non-coding RNA (MDOM_LNC013726)". Lineage: Eukaryota; Viridiplantae; Streptophyta; Magnoliopsida; Rosales; Rosaceae. The record is from RNAcentral.
AAUUUCCUUAGAUAAAGCUUGUCUGUAAUCUUCACACGUAACAUCAGCUUUCCAGAUACCACAUACCACUUUUUCAAAGUGCUCUGACAAAAUUAAAAACACGUGAAGCUGACAGCUCCCACUACAUUGCUGUGACCAAGAAGGGUAAAGGAAUAGCAUUACUACUUGUUAUUGGGAAAUCCCUAUAUACAUUGACCUCCCUCCUCAACGGACAGAAAAACCUGCAAAAAUGCUCAACCCUUUCUCGCAUUCGAAAAGGCACCCUCAACAUAACCUCUCG